Molecule: transfer RNA, 87 nt
Filed under: Halalkalibaculum roseum
Lineage: Bacteria; Pseudomonadati; Balneolota; Balneolia; Balneolales; Balneolaceae
Also listed under: 1 other name
Rfam family: tRNA
About the family: Transfer RNA (tRNA) molecules are approximately 80 nucleotides in length. Their secondary structure includes four short double-helical elements and three loops (D, anti-codon, and T loops). Further hydrogen bonds mediate the characteristic L-shaped molecular structure. tRNAs have two regions of fundamental functional importance: the anti-codon, which is responsible for specific mRNA codon recognition, and the 3' end, to which the tRNAs corresponding amino acid is attached (by aminoacyl-tRNA synthetases). tRNAs cope with the degeneracy of the genetic code in two manners: having more than one tRNA (with a specific anti-codon) for a particular amino acid; and 'wobble' base-pairing, i.e. permitting non-standard base-pairing at the 3rd anti-codon position.
Source: Rfam by way of RNAcentral
GGAGAGGUGCCAGAGUGGUCGAUCGGGCUCGCCUGGAAAGCGAGUGUGCCCUCACGGGUACCGAGGGUUCGAAUCCCUCCCUCUCCG